RNAcentral lists this ribosomal RNA (163 nucleotides) under Dictyostelium sp. MR-2008. RNAcentral's name for it is "5.8S ribosomal RNA". It matches the Rfam family "5.8S ribosomal RNA". From Rfam's summary of the family: 5.8S ribosomal RNA (5.8S rRNA) is a component of the large subunit of the eukaryotic ribosome. It is transcribed by RNA polymerase I as part of the 45S precursor that also contains 18S and 28S rRNA. The record is from RNAcentral. Lineage: Eukaryota; Evosea; Eumycetozoa; Dictyosteliales; Dictyosteliaceae.
UUAAGCAUAAACGGUGAAUACCUCGACUCUUAAACCGAUGAAGACCGUAGCAAACUGCGAUAAAUCAUUUGUAUUGCAUUACUACCUUCAAAAUCGAGACGUUGAACGCAUAUCGCAAGGCACAGACUUUUAGUCUAGGCUUUACACGUGGGUGAGAGCGGUA